RNAcentral lists this long non-coding RNA (1017 nucleotides) under Aquila chrysaetos chrysaetos. RNAcentral's name for it is "lncRNA (ENSACCG00020003282.1)". The record is from RNAcentral. Lineage: Eukaryota; Metazoa; Chordata; Aves; Accipitriformes; Accipitridae.
GGCGAACGGACCGGCGCGGCCUUUUAACAUGGCGGCGGCGGCGGCGGCAGAAGAAGAAGAAGAAGAAGAAGCAGUAGUAGGGAGGGCGGCAGCCGCGUCGGCGUUCGGUUGCCGUUGGCCUCCCUCAAGAUGUCGGCGGCGGCCCGGUGGCGCGCGGCGUGACGUAGUCAGGCCCCGCCGGCGGGAGGGGGGCGGGGGAGAGGCCGGAGCGGCGCAGGAGGAGGAGGAGGAGGCGGCGGCGGCGGCGGUGGCGGCGGCGGCGGCGGCGGGACCGGGACCGGCCGGGCCCCCGGGGGGGGAUUUAAAGGGACCAUGUCCCCGGCGAGGUGGUUGUUGUGGAGGCCGGAACCGGGCAGGAGGCGGCGGGGGCGGCGGUUGCAGCAGCAGCGACGCCGCUGAGGAGGAGGAGGAGGAGGAGAAGAAGAAGAAGAAGAAGAAGAAGAAGAAGCAGCAGCAGCAGCAGCCCGGUGGGCCCGGCCCCGGGGGACCGGUGGGAUUUUUCCGGCAGUCCCUGGCCGCCAACCCUCCCGAGUGCCGGCGCGGUGUUUUUUUCCGAGUGACACAGCACAAUCGGCGAGGGAUGGAGAAAGCUGUCCCUAAUUUCUCAGAGCGCCAAGGAGAUGGAGGCAGAGCCCUGUUAAUGACACCAGAGCCAAACAAAGAGACUUUUCCUGCCCUUGAGUGCCCCCAAGGCGAAGAACGAAGAGCCGCUUUCCUUCAAGAUGCAAAAAAGCCCCUGGAGAACCCGGCUUUAUCUGGGACGUCGGUGGAAACAGAGACAGAGCUCGAGGAAGAUGCUUUCUACGCCGGGGAUGAUCUGGCGACAAUGAGCAGGGAGGGGAAGGGACCCUCCAGCACCGAGCUGCACUCGUUGCAAGAGGAUCCCGACUUCUUCUCAUCGCUCUCCCGUCAGGAGCCCGACAUCGCCCUGGAAGCGCACGAUGUGGCUGGUAAGUCCCCGGUCGGUGCCAUUGGGGUCGCUUCUUGGGGGACGGGGACGUCUCUUGGCCCUUCGUG